AUACGUAGGGGGCGAGCGUUGUCCGGAAUGAUUGGGCGUAAAGGGCGCGCAGGCGGCCCGGUAAGUCUGGAGUGAAAGUCCUGUUUUUAAGAUGGGAAUUGCUUUGGAUACUGUCGGGCUUGAGUGCAGGAGAGGGAAGUGGAAUUCCCAGUGUAGCGGGGAAAUGCGUAGAGAUUGGGAGGAACACCAGUGGAGAAGGCGACUUACUGGACUGUAACUGACGCUGAGGCGCGAAAGUGUGGGGAGCAAACAGGAUUAGAUACCCUGGUAGUCCACACUGUAAACGAUGAAUGCUAGGUGUAGGGGGUAUCGACCCCUUCUGUGCCGCAGUCAACACAAUAAGCAUUCCGCCUGGGGAGUACGGCCGCAAGGUUGAAACUCAAAGGAAUUGACGGGG
Molecule: ribosomal RNA, 397 nt
Filed under: uncultured bacterium
Lineage: Bacteria
Description: partial 16S ribosomal RNA
Rfam family: Bacterial small subunit ribosomal RNA
Source: RNAcentral